This is a long non-coding RNA of Manis javanica (Malayan pangolin), 386 nucleotides long. RefSeq lists it as uncharacterized. The record is from RefSeq and is a predicted model, not a curated record. NCBI's taxonomy places the organism in Eukaryota, Metazoa, Chordata, Mammalia, Pholidota, Manidae.
GAAACUGUGAUCCUGCUCAUCAAGCAGAUCCUGGGUGAGGACUCUGCUGUGGGAUGCUGAGCUGAAAGGGGCCCUGUCUGAGCAAACACGCCAAAGGGAACGAGACUUUCAACACGAGACAGAUUUUUGGAGUGUGAAGCAAGCUGGAAGACUCCUGGGCUCCAGACCUGUGGCCAGCAGGGCCCCUUCCUGGGUGAGAUGACUUUGAGUUACAGGUGGGGCCUUCUAGAAGAUGGCGAGCAUAAAAAGCCACAGACCCCAAGGCCCUCUCCAAGGAGACAUGGCUAGAAGUAAUGGAUUCUGAGGCUGUGAAGGAUAGCAGAGUCAUCAAUGGGCCUUUCUCAGAAGAAGUUGAAUAAAAAUUUUUUGAAUGAAUGAACACCUGG